This 402-nucleotide ribosomal RNA is filed under the name uncultured bacterium. RNAcentral's name for it is "bacterial SSU rRNA". It matches the Rfam family "Bacterial small subunit ribosomal RNA", at positions 355 to 774 of the family's 1533-position model. The record is from RNAcentral.
UGGGGAAUAUUGGACAAUGGGGGAAACCCUGAUCCAGCAAUGCCGCGUGAGUGAAGAAGGCCUUAGGGUUGUAAAGCUCUUUCGCCCGCGAAGAUAAUGACGGUAGCGGGAGAAGAAGCCCCGGCUAACUCCGUGCCAGCAGCCGCGGUAAUACGGAGGGGGCUAGCGUUGUUCGGAAUUACUGGGCGUAAAGCGUACGUAGGCGGAUGCGCAAGUUGGGGGUGAAAUCCCGGGGCUUAACCUCGGAAUUGCCCUCAAAACUGCACGUCUUGAUACCGAGAGAGGUAAGGGGAAUUCCUAGUGUAGAGGUGAAACUCGUAGAUAUUAGGAAGAACACCAGUGGCGAAGGCGCCUUACUGGCUCGGUACUGACGCUGAGGUACGAAAGCGUGGGGAGCAAACA